GCGGGUCUAUAAUGCAGUCGAGCGGACAGAUGGGAGCUUGCUCCCUGAUGUUAGCGGCGGACGGGUGAGUAACACGUGGGUAACCUGCCUGUAAGACUGGGAUAACUCCGGGAAACCGGGGCUAAUACCGGAUGGUUGUUUGAACCGCAUGGUUCAAACAUAAAAGGUGGCUUCGGCUACCACUUACAGAUGGACCCGCGGCGCAUUAGCUAGUUGGUGAGGUAACGGCUCACCAAGGCGACGAUGCGUAGCCGACCUGAGAGGGUGAUCGGCCACACUGGGACUGAGACACGGCCCAGACUCCUACGGGAGGCAGCAGUAGGGAAUCUUCCGCAAUGGACGAAAGUCUGACGGAGCAACGCCGCGUGAGUGAUGAAGGUUUUCGGAUCGUAAAGCUCUGUUGUUAGGGAAGAACAAGUACCGUUCGAAUAGGGCGGUACCUUGACGGUACCUAACCAGAAAGCCACGGCUAACUACGUGCCAGCAGCCGCGGUAAUACGUAGGUGGCAAGCGUUGUCCGGAAUUAUUGGGCGUAAAGGGCUCGCAGGCGGUUUCUUAAGUCUGAUGUGAAACCCCCGGCUCACCGGGGAGGGCAUUGGAAACUGGGGAACUUGAGUGCAGAAGAGGAGAGUGGAAUUCCCGUGUAGCGGUGAAUGCGUAGAGAUGUGGAGGAAACCAGUGGCGAAGCGACUCUCUGGUCUGUACUGACGCUGAGGAGCGAAAGCGUGGGGAGCGAACAGGAUUAGAUACCCUGGUAGUCCACGCCGCUAACGAUGAGUGCUAAGUGUUAGGGGGUUCCGCCCCUUAGUGCUGCAGCUAACGCAUUAAGCACUCCGCCUGGGGAGUACGGUCGCAAGACUGAGACUCACAAGGAUUGACACGGGGCCCGCACAAGCGGUGGAGCAUGUGGGUUUAUUCGAAGCAACGCGAAGAACCUUACCAGGUCUUGACAUCCUCUGACAAUCCCUAAAGAUAGGACGUCCCCCUUCCUGGGGCAAAGUGACACGGUGUGGCAUGGUUGUCGUCACCUCCCGUCCGUGAAAUGUUGGGUUAAGUUCCCCAACAAGCGCAACCCUUGAUCUUAGUUGCCAGCAUUCAAUUGGGCACCUUAAGGGACUGCGGUGAACAACCGAGGAAGGUGGGAGACGUCAAUCACAUGCCCUUUGACUGGGUACCCCUGUAAAUGGAAAACAAGGGACGAACCCCGGGUAACCAUCCCAAAUUGUUC
This 1228-nucleotide ribosomal RNA is filed under the name Bacillus sp. (in: firmicutes). RNAcentral describes it as "bacterial SSU rRNA". It matches the Rfam family "Bacterial small subunit ribosomal RNA", at positions 42 to 1286 of the family's 1533-position model. The record is from RNAcentral. Lineage: Bacteria; Bacillati; Bacillota; Bacilli; Caryophanales; Bacillaceae.